Molecule: ribosomal RNA, 220 nt
Filed under: uncultured Lactobacillus sp.
Lineage: Bacteria; Bacillati; Bacillota; Bacilli; Lactobacillales; Lactobacillaceae
Description: partial 16S ribosomal RNA
Rfam family: Bacterial small subunit ribosomal RNA
Source: RNAcentral
AGUAACACCUGGAAACAGAUGCUAAUACCGGAUAACAACAGAUGAUGCCUAUCAACUGUUUAAAAGAUGGUUCUGCUAUCACUCUUGGAUGGACCUGCGGUGCAUUAGCUAGUUGGUAGGGUAACGGCCUACCAAGGCGAUGAUGCAUAGCCGAGUUGAGAGACUGAUCGGCCACAUUGGGACUGAGACACGGCCCAAACUCCUACGGGAGGCAGCAGGC